This 775-nucleotide ribosomal RNA is filed under the name uncultured Neocallimastigales. RNAcentral describes it as "partial large subunit ribosomal RNA". It matches the Rfam family "Eukaryotic large subunit ribosomal RNA", at positions 23 to 634 of the family's 3401-position model. The record is from RNAcentral. Lineage: Eukaryota; Fungi; Neocallimastigomycota; Neocallimastigomycetes; Neocallimastigales.
AGAGAGAGACAUGCGCGCAUAUCAAUAAGCGGAGGAAAAGAAACUAACAAGGAUUCCCUUAGUAACGGCGAGUGAAGCGGGAAGAGCUCAAAUUUGAAAUCUUCAAGGUUUUACCUUGACGAAUUGUAGUUUAAAGAGGUGUUUUCUGCUGAAGUUUUGGUAAAAGUUCUUUGGAAUAGGACAUCAUAGAGGGUGAGAAUCCCGUAUUUGACCAUUAUUUUCAGCUUUGUGAUACACUUUCAAAGAGUCGGAUUGUUUGGGAAUGCAGUCCAAAAUGGGUGGUAAAUUUCAUCUAAAGCUAAAUAUUGGCGAGAGACCGAUAGCGAACAAGUACCGUGAGGGUAAGAUGAAAAGAACUUUGAAAAGAGAGUUAAACAGUACGUGAAAUUGUCAAAAGGGAAGCGUUUGACACCAGUGUUGUUUUCUCGAAAAUCAAUUAAAAAUGGCUCGAUUUUGUAUUGCUGAGACCUUAAAAGCUCACUGUACAUUUUUCGUGUCUUUUUUAAUGCACUUUUCGUUUAACAAGUCAACAUCAGUUUCUUUUGUUGUAAAAGGGUCAUUGGAAGGUGGCUUUCUUUUCGGAGAAAGUGUUUAUAGCCUUUGGCCUCUGCAAUCGGAAGAGACUGAGGUCUGCAGCGUAGACUCUUCGGGGUUAGAUACAUUUGUGCUAAGUUAUAGCUUUUUAUAGACAACUUGUUGACUAUAAUUAGUCUUGUAGCUUACUCGCUUAUGCUAUUUUACCUACGCUUAGGAUGUUGAGUCGUAGAGCACGCAG